CCAGCAGGUUGAGGGCGCAGCCUAGGAGUCUCGACCUGCUGGAAGGUUAGUCGGCUUUGUGAUGUUUCACGAUUCGGAAGGCAAAGGGCAAAGUUUAAUCGUAGG
Molecule: small RNA, 105 nt
Filed under: Bacillus methanolicus MGA3
Lineage: Bacteria; Bacillati; Bacillota; Bacilli; Caryophanales; Bacillaceae
Description: non-coding RNA with unknown function
Source: RNAcentral